This 468-nucleotide ribosomal RNA is filed under the name uncultured bacterium. Its description in RNAcentral is "partial 16S ribosomal RNA". It matches the Rfam family "Bacterial small subunit ribosomal RNA", at positions 28 to 507 of the family's 1533-position model. The record is from RNAcentral.
GACGAACGCUGGCGGCGUGCUUAACACAUGCAAGUCGAACGGAAAGGCCCUGCUUUUGUGGGGUGCUCGAGUGGCGAACGCGUGAGUAACACGUGAGUAACCUGCCCUUGACUUUGUGAUAACUUCAGGAAACUGGGGCUCAUACCGGAUAGGAGCUCCUGCUGCAUGUUGGGGGUUGGAAAGUUUCGGCGGUUGGGGAUGGACUCGCGGCUUAUCCGCUUGUUGGUGAGGUAGUGGCUUACCAAGGCUUUGACGGGUAGCCGGCCUGAGAGGGUGACCGGGCACCAUGGGACUGAGAGACGGCCCAGACGCCUACGGGAGGCAGCAGGGGGGAAUAUUGCGCAAUGGGCGGAAGUCUGAGGCAGCAACGCCGCGUGCGGGAUGACGGCUUUCGGGUGAUAAACCGCUUUCGCCGGAGACGAAGCGUGAGUGACGGUAAUGGGUAAAGAAGCACCGGCUAACUACGUG